This 256-nucleotide long non-coding RNA is filed under the name Malus domestica (apple). RNAcentral describes it as "long non-coding RNA (MDOM_LNC016117)". Lineage: Eukaryota; Viridiplantae; Streptophyta; Magnoliopsida; Rosales; Rosaceae. The record is from RNAcentral.
GUGGGCCCCGUGGCGGACGGCGUAACGGCAGGUGGUGAAGACGUAGAGGGUGGCGAGGUGGUGGAGGAUGAAGAUGACGUCGUUGGGGAAGAAGAGGAGGUAGUGGAGGAGGUCGAGGGAGAAGUAGGCGAUGCUGAACUCGAGCACGGUGUUUUGGGUGUCGGUGUUGGGGGAGGCGAAGGUGGUGGCUUUGUAGCUGCGGAGGAUUGCGUGGGCGGCCAUGGCGGCAGCUGCGGAGCCGUGGGAUAAAGAGAUU